GUGGGGUUUAUCGGAUUACUGGGCGUAAGCGUACGCAGGCGGCUGUGCAAGACAGGUGUGAAAUCCCCGGGCCCAACCUGGGAACUGCAUUUGUGACUGCACGGCUAGAGUCCGUAAGAGGGGGGUGGAAUUCCACGUGUAGCAGUGAAAUGCGUAGAGAUGUGGAGGAACACCGAUGGCGAAGGCAGCCCCCUGGGAUGAGACUGACGCUCAUGUACGAAAGCGUGGGGAGCAAACAGGAUUAGAUACCCUGGUAGUCCACGCCCUAAACGAUGUCGACUAGUUGUCGGGUCUUUACAGACUUGGUAACGCAGCUAACGCGUGAAGUCGACCGCCUGGGGAGUACGGUCGCAAGAUUAAAACUCAAAGGAAUUGACGGGGACCCGCACAAGCGGUGGAUGAUGUGGAUUAAUUCGAUGCAACGCGAAAAACCUUACCUACCCUUGACAUGGCAGGAACUCCGCAGAGAUGUGGAGGUGCCCGAAAGGGAGCCUGCGCACAGGUGCUGCACGGCUGUCGUCAGCUCGUGUCGUGAGAUGUUGGGUUAAGUCCCGCAACGAGCGCAACCCUUGUCACUAGUUGCUACGAAAGGGCACUCUAGUGAGACCGCCGGUGACAAACCGGAGGAAGGUGGGGAUGACGUCAAGUCCUCAUGGCCCUUAUGGGUAGGGCUUCACACGUCAUACAAUGGUCGGUACAGAGGGUUGCCAACCCGCGAGGGGGAGCCAAUCCCAGAAAACCGGUCGUAGUCCGGAUUGCAGUCUGCAACUCGACUGCAUGAAGUCGGAAUCGCUAGUAAUCGCGGAUCAGCAUGUCGCGGUGAAUACGUUCCCGG
This 835-nucleotide ribosomal RNA is filed under the name uncultured bacterium. RNAcentral describes it as "bacterial SSU rRNA". It matches the Rfam family "Bacterial small subunit ribosomal RNA", at positions 535 to 1377 of the family's 1533-position model. The record is from RNAcentral.